GGAGAGGUGUCCGAGUGGCCGAAGGAGCACGCUUGGAAAGCGUGUGUACGGCAACGUACCGUGGGUUCGACUCCCACCCUCUCCGCCA
RNAcentral lists this transfer RNA (88 nucleotides) under Nitrospirota bacterium. RNAcentral describes it as "Nitrospirae bacterium tRNA-Ser". It matches the Rfam family "tRNA". From Rfam's summary of the family: Transfer RNA (tRNA) molecules are approximately 80 nucleotides in length. Their secondary structure includes four short double-helical elements and three loops (D, anti-codon, and T loops). Lineage: Bacteria; Pseudomonadati; Nitrospirota. The record is from RNAcentral. RNAcentral also lists the same sequence under 1 other name.